GCAGGAGAACAAGAGAAAAGGCCCGAGAGUCUUAGAUAACUUCCAGCUCGAUAGGGCGAUGAAGCCAGGUGAAAAUUAUACUCAGCAAAGUAAAAGGGGAUAACCUCGCUCUCUCUAUGCAGGUUAGAGAAACCCGGAGCCUGGGGCCAAGUUCUGGGAGCCACACUUUUCAAAUGAAAUAAGAAAAUGGGACAUUCACUGGACAUUAUUGAGCCUUUGAAAAGAAGGAAGUCCUGCCAUAUGCAACAACAUGGAUGAACCUGGAGGACCUGAUGCUAAGUGACAUAAACCGGUCCCAGAAGGACAAGUACUGCGUGAUUCCACUUAACAUGAGAGGUUCAUUUGGAGAUGGACGGGGGAUCCAGCUCUGGUAGGUGAGAUGUGAAGAGAAAUACGUGAAGGAACUUCUAAGGAUGACUGUCCACUCUGAUGAAGAGAAAAGG
Vicugna pacos (alpaca) is the source of this 443-nucleotide non-coding RNA. Lineage: Eukaryota; Metazoa; Chordata; Mammalia; Artiodactyla; Camelidae. The record is from RefSeq and is a predicted model, not a curated record.